RNAcentral lists this transfer RNA (76 nucleotides) under Acinetobacter sp. S55. RNAcentral describes it as "tRNA-Arg". It matches the Rfam family "tRNA". From Rfam's summary of the family: Transfer RNA (tRNA) molecules are approximately 80 nucleotides in length. Their secondary structure includes four short double-helical elements and three loops (D, anti-codon, and T loops). Further hydrogen bonds mediate the characteristic L-shaped molecular structure. tRNAs have two regions of fundamental functional importance: the anti-codon, which is responsible for specific mRNA codon recognition, and the 3' end, to which the tRNAs corresponding amino acid is attached (by aminoacyl-tRNA synthetases). tRNAs cope with the degeneracy of the genetic code in two manners: having more than one tRNA (with a specific anti-codon) for a particular amino acid; and 'wobble' base-pairing, i.e. permitting non-standard base-pairing at the 3rd anti-codon position. Lineage: Bacteria; Pseudomonadati; Pseudomonadota; Gammaproteobacteria; Moraxellales; Moraxellaceae. RNAcentral also lists the same sequence under 1 other name. The record is from RNAcentral.
GCGCUUGUAGCUUAACUGGAUAGAGCAGUUGCCUCCUAAGCGACCGACGUGGGUUCGAGUCCCGCCAAGCGCACCA